CAGGUCUUUACAUCCAGUGCAAACCUAAGAGAUUAGGAGUUCCCUUCGGGGACGCUGAGACAGGUGGUGCAUGGCUGUCGUCAGCUCGUGUCGUGAGAUGUUGGGUUWAGUCCCGCAACGAGCGCAACCCUUGUCAUUAGUUGCCAUCAUUAAGUUGGGCACUCUAAUGAGACUGCCGGUGACAAACCGGAGGAAGGUGGGGAUGACGUCAAGUCAUCAUGCCCCUUAUGACCUGGGCUACACACGUGCUACAAUGGACGGUACAACGAGAAGCGAACCUGCGAAGGCAAGCGGAUCUCUGAAAGCCGUUCUCAGUUCGGACUGUAGGCUGCAACUCGCCUACACGAAGCUGGAAUCGCUAGUAAUCGCGGAUCAGCACGCCGCGGUGAAUACGUUCCCGGGCCUUGUACACACCGCCCGUCACACCAUGAGAGUCUGUAACACCCAAAGCCGGUGGGAUAACCUUUAUAGGAGUCAGCCGUCUAAGGUAGGACAGAUGAUUAGGGUG
RNAcentral lists this ribosomal RNA (508 nucleotides) under uncultured bacterium. RNAcentral describes it as "bacterial SSU rRNA". It matches the Rfam family "Bacterial small subunit ribosomal RNA", at positions 975 to 1482 of the family's 1533-position model. The record is from RNAcentral.